Molecule: ribosomal RNA, 492 nt
Filed under: uncultured bacterium
Lineage: Bacteria
Description: partial 16S ribosomal RNA
Rfam family: Bacterial small subunit ribosomal RNA
Source: RNAcentral
AGUGAACGCUGGCGGUAGGCCUAACACAUGCAAGUCGAACGGCAGCACAGUAAGAGCUUGCUCUUACGGGUGGCGAGUGGCGGACGGGUGAGGAAUACAUCGGAAUCUACUUUUUCGUGGGGGAUAACAUAGGGAAACUUACGCUAAUACCGCAUACGACCUACGGGUGAAAGCAGGGGAUCUUCGGACCUUGCGCGAUUGAAUGAGCCGAUGUCGGAUUAGCUAGUUGGCGGGGUAAAGGCCCACCAAGGCGACGAUCCGUAGCUGGUCUGAGAGGAUGAUCAGCCACACUGGAACUGAGACACGGUCCAGACUCCUACGGGAGGCAGCAGUGGGGAAUAUUGGACAAUGGGCGCAAGCCUGAUCCAGCCAUACCGCGUGGGUGAAGAAGGCCUUCGGGUUUUAAAGCCCUUUUGUUGGGAAAGAAAAGCAGCAGGUUAAUACCCCGCUGUUCUGACGGUACCCAAAGAAUAAGCACCGGCUAACUUCGUG